UUGUUUUCACUUUCUCGGUCUGUUCCUCUCUAACUCCGCCUAAACCCUCUCUCUAAAAAAAAUUUCCAAAUCAAAGUGCAAAAACGAUGAAAUUGAAAUACGUAAAGUAAUGAUGAUAGACAUGGUGUUGGAUCUGAUAUUUGGGCGUUGUUAAGAACUAAAACGCAAAGAUUGAAGCAAGACCCAGGAUUUCACCAUGUAAAAGGCCUAAAUGUGGGUUUCUAUCAGAUUUAAACAAGUCAAAGCAUGGACGUCUAAGGAACUAAGCAUAUCGGUAUGGACAUGUGGGAUGUGGCUAUGGAGAGAAGGGAAGCUGCUCGAGAAAUUGUUUGCAGAGCAUAUCUAGGGGUUUGGAAUGAGGUGUUGGUUACUACAAUGUAAAUACCUCUCAUUUCCUUUUACAUUGCUCUAUGGUUUUCAACAUUGAAAGCUAGCACAACUUGUGAAGCUACUUACAUUGGCUGUUCAUUUGCUAUUGUUUAAAGCCGAUUUGCCCCGUGUUAUCCAGUCUACUAAAACAUUGUUAUUGCCUCUCUUUAUUGGUUCAGGAUGUCACAGAGACCUGGAUUUCGGGAUGUUUGUAUUGGCUUAUAAUUUUUUACCCAUCUUCAACGCAAAAUCAUCGAGGGAUUUGAUAUUGCGGUUAGCGGGGAGUUAGAAAGGGAGAGCUUAUGUUUCCACCUUUAGCUUUUAUUGCGACUUACAUUUCCUGCGUCCUCAGCCCAAGUCAAGGCAACUGAGAGGCUUGAGGUUGUAUACCGUGUCCUAAAAUAGGUGAUUCUUAAUGGUUCACCUGGACGUAAAGCAAGAAGCAAGUUAGCAAGCAGAUAUUUACUUUCUUGCUCAAAGCUGUAGGAAAGAGCACAAAUAAAGGAACAAGCUGUGUUAGAUGAGAAUGGUGCAAGAAACACCAUCACCUAGUGUUAUUCUGAUGCCCAUACAUGAUCAAGCUUCGAAUCCUUGCGCUAUUACAACUACUCCAGCAAGAGGAACCAGUUCAUAAUAUUAAUGAAGAAGUCUUCUUGCACUGAGCACAUUGUUAAGCUAGGGGUAGAGGUAAUUUAAACUGAUGAUGUUGGAAUACCAGUAGAUGUAAAGCAGGGAUAGCAUCUGUCUAGUAUAUGGCACAUGAACUGAACCGGUUUUUUUACACCUGAAUGUCUAGUAUGUGUCUCAGCCAUUCAAUUUGGUGAAUGAUUAUUAUUGUAAAUUGUUGCUGAGGUAUUGUAGUUUCAGAAAUAAGAAUAAAAUUUGCAGUCUCAAAAUUUGCAUUUGAAAA
This is a long non-coding RNA of Papaver somniferum (opium poppy), 1279 nucleotides long. RefSeq lists it as uncharacterized. Lineage: Eukaryota; Viridiplantae; Streptophyta; Magnoliopsida; Ranunculales; Papaveraceae. The record is from RefSeq and is a predicted model, not a curated record. The transcript has 9 exons.